Molecule: ribosomal RNA, 1209 nt
Filed under: uncultured organism
Description: bacterial SSU rRNA
Rfam family: Bacterial small subunit ribosomal RNA
Source: RNAcentral
AGAUGGGCAUGCGUGUCAUUAGCUAGUUGGUGAGGUAACGGCUCACCAAGGCCACGAUGACUAGGGGGUCUGAGAGGAUGAUCCCCCACACUGGUACUGAGACACGGACCAGACUCCUACGGGAGGCAGCAGUGAGGAAUAUUGGGCAAUGGACGCAAGUCUGACCCAGCCAUGCCGCGUGCAGGAUGACUGCCCUAUGGGUUGUAAACUGCUUUUGUUUGGGAAGAAACCCCCGAUCGUGAUCGGGGCUGACGGUACCAUACGAAUAAGCAUCGGCUAACUCCGUGCCAGCAGCCGCGGUAAUACGGAGGAUGCAAGCGUUAUCCGGAUUCAUUGGGUUUAAAGGGUGCGCAGGCGGAGUAUUAAGUCAGUGGUGAAAUCCUGCAGCUUAACUGUAGAACUGCCAUUGAUACUGAUAUUCUUGAAUAUAGUUGAGGUGGGCGGAAUGUGUAAUGUAGCGGUGAAAUGCUUAGAUAUUACACAGAACUCCAAUUGCGAAGGCAGCUCACUAAACUAAUAUUGACGCUGAGGCACGAAAGCGUGGGUAGCAAACAGGAUUAGAUACCCUGGUAGUCCACGCUGUAAACUAUGAUCACUCGCUGUUGGCAAUACAUCGUCAGCGGCUGAGCGAAAGCAUUAAGUGAUCCACCUGGGGAGUACGGUCGCAAGAUUGAAACUCAAAGGAAUUGACGGGGGCCCGCACAAGCGGAGGAACAUGUGGUUUAAUUCGAUGAUACGCGAGGAACCUUACCUGGGCUUAAAUGCAGAGCGACGUCCGCCGAAAGGUGGAUUCCUUCGGGCGAUCUGCAAGGUGCUGCAUGGUUGUCGUCAGCUCGUGCCGUGAGGUGUCGGGUUAAGUCCCAUAACGAGCGCAACCCUUAUCGUUAGUUGCCAGCGGGUAAUGCCGGGGACUCUAACGAAACUGCCGGUGUAAACCGUGAGGAAGGUGGGGAUGACGUCAAAUCAGCACGGCCCUUAUGUCCAGGGCUACACACGUGUUACAAUGGUCGGUACAGAGGGCAGCUACCACGCAAGUGGAUGCUAAUCUCGAAAACCGGUCUCAGUUCGGAUUGAAGUCUGCAACUCGACUUCAUGAAGCUGGAUUCGCUAGUAAUCGCGCAUCAGCCAUGGCGCGGUGAUACGUUCCCGGGCAUUGUACACACCGCCCGUCAAGCCGUGGAAGCUUGGGGUACCUGAAGUCCGUAACCG